CAAUGGAACAUGAGGAUGGUUAAUGAAGUCAGCAUGACAACGAGAAAAAAUAAAUGAAUAAAUCAAUUGAUUAAAUUUCUCUCCCUUCUCCCCAUUUUUAGAGUUUUUGAAUUUUCUUUUUUUUUUGCUGUGAUGGAUAGCGAAAUGUGAUAAGAGAUACGCACAAUAGAAAUGAUGUAGCUGUCAUUAACUUGGUGAGUGAUGAUGAUGAUGAACAUUUAACCAGGGAUACACGUGAGCAAGAAUAUGAUGGUAGUGACGAUGACGACGAUGAUGAUGAUACUGAUACAGUGAUUUUGGAAGAGGAGGAGCUGAUUGGGACGUCAGGG
Molecule: long non-coding RNA, 329 nt
Organism: Aphidius gifuensis
Lineage: Eukaryota; Metazoa; Arthropoda; Insecta; Hymenoptera; Braconidae
Exons: 4
Source: RefSeq, a predicted model, not a curated record